CAGUCGCCGCGGUAAUACGAAGGGGGCUAGCGUUGUUCGGAAUUACUGGGCGUAAAGCGCGCGCAGGCGGUUCUCCAAGUCAGUGGUGAAAGCCCGGAGCUCAACUCCGGAACUGCCAUUGAAACUGUUGAACUUGAGGACGAGAGAGGUGAGUGGAAUUCCCAGUGUAGAGGUGAAAUUCGUAGAUAUUGGGAAGAACACCGGUGGCGAAGGCGGCUCACUGGCUCGUAUCUGACGCUCAGGCGCGAUAGCGUGGGGAUCAAACAGGAUUAGAUACCCCAGUAGUCCCUGUCUCUUAUAC
This 301-nucleotide ribosomal RNA is filed under the name uncultured bacterium. RNAcentral describes it as "partial 16S ribosomal RNA". It matches the Rfam family "Bacterial small subunit ribosomal RNA", at positions 509 to 807 of the family's 1533-position model. The record is from RNAcentral.